This 1180-nucleotide long non-coding RNA is filed under the name Anolis carolinensis (green anole). Its description in RNAcentral is "lncRNA (ENSACAG00000042752.1)". Lineage: Eukaryota; Metazoa; Chordata; Lepidosauria; Squamata; Anolidae. The record is from RNAcentral.
AUUUGCAGUUUCUAAGACUAUUAGAUAAAUCUACGCAUAAUGAUUCCAGAAUUCUGCCCCUUGGUUCCCAAGUCACAGAUCAUUGAAAAAAAUGUUUCUCCUCCAUGCUGCUGCUGUUUCUCUCUUUCCACCCAAUUAUCUUGAUGACAAAGCCCCUUUGGCAAAGUUGCUUGAUGUGAAGCAGCCAAUUUACUGUUGAUCACAUGACUCGGUGUCUUGUUCUGACCUCUGCUGGAGAGGUACCCAGCCCAGAAGGCGGUGGGAAUAUAAAUGAAGGGGGAGAAAGCACAAUGCAGGGAGGGGGGAGGUGGCUGACCAGCAGAGAAGCUGCUUUUCCUGGAGCAAAGGAGAGGAAGAAGGCCCCAAAAACAAUGGCUGAGAUGACAAUAAACAAAGCACAGCUGAGCAAGACGGUUGGAUCAAAGGGCUUCUCUGAAAGUGAAAAGGAAUCUGGUCCCAUCAAUCAAAUUAUGAACUUAGACUGGGAAAUACUGAGUUUAAAAUUGCUGACUGCUAGCCUUGGCCAGGUAAGAAACUAUGUUUCCCAUUAACAUUUUAUUGAACAUUUUGGUCAUUUCUAUAUUUUUUGGUGGAGAUGAAAUCUCUUCCAUGUAAUAUGUCAUAAAUUAUCAUAUGUCAUAUUUGUCCUUCUUUUAUAAAUCUUGAGUUGGAAGGAAGAGCCUUCUAGUAGUUACAUCUGGAUUGUGUAGUUGAUUGAGGCUGGAUCAACACUGCCAUAUAAUUCAGUUCAGACUGCAUAGACCCAGAGCCCUUCCACACAGCCAUAUAACCCAGAAUAUCAAGCCAGAAAAUCCCACAAGAUAUGCUUUGAGCUGGGUUAUUUGAGUCCACACUGCCAUAUAACCCAGUUCAAAGCAGAAAAUGUGGGCUUUUAUUCAGCUAUGUGGCAAGGGCCCCAUAUAACACAGUUUGAACUGCAUUGGCCAGCAUUAUAUGGGCCUACACUACCCAUAUAAUGCAGUUCCAUACUGUAUUACAGGGGUCCCCAAACUAAGGCCCGGGGGCCGGAUGUGGCCCUUCAAGGUCAUUUACCUGGCCCCCGCCCUCAGUUUUAUAAUAUAAUAUUUUUAUAUCAGUUUUAAUAAUAUAAUAUAUUGUAUAUACAUAUAAUAUUGAUAAUAAUCUUAUGUUAUACAAUAUAAUACUAAUAGUAAUACCA